RNAcentral lists this ribosomal RNA (422 nucleotides) under uncultured bacterium. RNAcentral's name for it is "bacterial SSU rRNA". It matches the Rfam family "Bacterial small subunit ribosomal RNA", at positions 355 to 774 of the family's 1533-position model. The record is from RNAcentral.
UGAGGAACAUUGGGCAAUGCCCGCAAGGGUGACCCAGCAACGCCGCGUGGAGGAUGAAUGUCAUAAGAUUGUAAACUCCUGUUAGAGGGGAAGAAUAGUACCGGUUGGACCGGUAUAUGACUGUACCCUCAGAGAAAGCCCCGGCUAACUACGUGCCAGCAGCCGCGGUAAUACGUAGGGGGCAAGCGUUGUCCGGAUUUACUGGGUGUAAAGGGCGCGCAGGCGGGAUAAAAAGUCAGUGGUGAAAUCCUACAGCUUAACUGUAGAACUGCCUUUGAUACUUUUAUUCUUGAGUUCGGGAGAGAGAGACGGAAUUCCAGGUGUAGUGGUGAAAUACGUAGAUAUCUGGAAGAACACCAGUUGCGAAGGCGGUCUCUUGGUCCGACACUGACGCUGAGGCGCGAAAGCGUGGGGAGCAAACA